This 464-nucleotide ribosomal RNA is filed under the name Pseudomonas aeruginosa. RNAcentral describes it as "bacterial SSU rRNA". It matches the Rfam family "Bacterial small subunit ribosomal RNA", at positions 338 to 794 of the family's 1533-position model. The record is from RNAcentral. Lineage: Bacteria; Pseudomonadati; Pseudomonadota; Gammaproteobacteria; Pseudomonadales; Pseudomonadaceae.
CCUACGGGAGGCAGCAGUAGGGAAUCUUCGGCAAUGGGGGCAACCCUGACCGAGCAACGCCGCGUGAGUGAAGAAGGUUUUCGGAUCGUAAAGCUCUGUUGUAAGUCAAGAACGGGUGUGAGAGUGGAAAGUUCACACUGUGACGGUAGCUUACCAGAAAGGGACGGCUAACUACGUGCCAGCAGCCGCGGUAAUACGUAGGUCCCGAGCGUUGUCCGGAUUUAUUGGGCGUAAAGCGAGCGCAGGCGGUUAGAUAAGUCUGAAGUUAAAGGCUGUGGCUUAACCAUAGUACGCUUUGGAAACUGUUUAACUUGAGUGCAAGAGGGGAGAGUGGAAUUCCAUGUGUAGCGGUGAAAUGCGUAGAUAUAUGGAGGAACACCGGUGGCGAAAGCGGCUCUCUGGCUUGUAACUGACGCUGAGGCUCGAAAGCGUGGGGAGCAAACAGGAUUAGAUACCCUAGUAGU